This is a long non-coding RNA of Anolis carolinensis (green anole), 655 nucleotides long. RefSeq lists it as uncharacterized. The record is from RefSeq and is a predicted model, not a curated record. NCBI's taxonomy places the organism in Eukaryota, Metazoa, Chordata, Lepidosauria, Squamata, Anolidae. The transcript is spliced from 3 exons.
GUGAACUCCAUUGAUUGCACAAGGAUUUACUCUGCUGAGAGUUAACUUAUAAUGUUCCAAGAAAUCAGACUAUUCUCAAAUGUACAUUUGAAAGGGUAGACUGUGGAAAUCUAUAAAAGGAAAUCCUGGUGGAUACAACUCUGAUUUGCACAUACAAUUUAAAAAAUCUCAUUGUAGUGCUCUUGAUGGUACAACUUAUUUGAAAUGAGACUACACACUUUUGAACAAUGAGGUUCGCAUUUUGGACAUGCCAUUUUCCCACCAGCCAUGUUAGCAAUGAGGAAUGAGAAUGCACAGUCACAAGCCAUCCAUAAUCUGGUAACCUCCAGCUUUGAGAUUGUUCCUACUUUUACCAAAAGAAAGAUAAUUGUACACAUGUCAGAGGAUAGAGAAGUACUUUGAAAGAAUGAAAACCCCUUAAAAAAAAGAAAGAAAUGGCCACUUAGGAUGUGAAGAAAUUCUCCAUAAUGGACCACGAAUGAUCAAACUGAGAGAAUGUCCCUUGGAAGUGUUUGAUAGUUUAAGCAGGAAACAGGUACUUUGGGCUGCAUAUUGCUACCAUUUUAGGCAAACCUUUCUCUUGGAUUAUCUGGGGCACUAUUUUCUUCAAUGCAUUAGAUUUUUGGUGCAUAAAGGUAAAAGUUUGAAAUGUGAA